GGUCUGCAACUCGACCACACGAAGCUGGAAUCGCUAGUAAUCGCGGAUCAGCACGCCGCGGUGAAUAACGUUCCCGGGCCUUGUACACACCGCCCGUCACACCAUGAGAGUCUGUAACACCCAAAGCCGGUGGGAUAACCUUUAUAGGAGUCAGCCGUCUAAGGUAGGACAGAUGAUUAGGGUGAAGUCGUAACAAGGUAGC
Molecule: ribosomal RNA, 202 nt
Filed under: uncultured bacterium
Lineage: Bacteria
Description: partial 16S ribosomal RNA
Rfam family: Bacterial small subunit ribosomal RNA
Source: RNAcentral